RNAcentral lists this ribosomal RNA (488 nucleotides) under uncultured Campylobacterota bacterium. RNAcentral's name for it is "bacterial SSU rRNA". It matches the Rfam family "Bacterial small subunit ribosomal RNA", at positions 1 to 500 of the family's 1533-position model. The record is from RNAcentral. Lineage: Bacteria; Pseudomonadati; Campylobacterota.
GCCCUUAGAGUUGUAUCCUGGCUCAGAGUGAACGCUGGCGGCGUGCUUAACACAUGCAAGUCGAACGAGAACGGAUUAUAGCUUGCUAUAAUUGUCAGCUAAGUGGCGCACGGGUGAGUAAUAUAUAGAUAACCUGCCCUCUAGAAAGGAAUAACAGUUGGAAACGACUGCUAAUGCCCUAUAUGCCUUUAAUACAUAAGUAUGCAAGGGAAACGCUUUAGUGCUAGAGGAUGGGUCUGUAUGGUAUCAGCUUGUUGGUGAGGUAAUGGCUCACCAAGGCUAUGACGCCUAACUGGUUUGAGAGGAUGAUCAGUCACACUGGAACUGAGACACGGUCCAGACUCCUACGGGAGGCAGCAGUGGGGAAUAUUGCACAAUGGACGAAAGUCUGAUGCAGCAACGCCGCGUGGAGGAUGACACAUUUCGGUGCGUAAACUCCUUUUAUAUAGGAAGAUAAUGACGGUACUAUAUGAAUAAGCACCGGCUAA